Molecule: long non-coding RNA, 1702 nt
Filed under: Homo sapiens (human)
Lineage: Eukaryota; Metazoa; Chordata; Mammalia; Primates; Hominidae
Description: HSALNT0142491
Source: RNAcentral
GUGUAACACAUUUAGAUCCUGACAAAUUAAAAGAAUGUUUUGCAUUAAUACAUAAAAGAUAGGCAGCUACGUGGAAUAGAAUAGAACAUCCAGAAACAAAUUCACUUAUAUAAAAGCUACCUGAAAUCACUGGAAGAAGCAAGUGAAUUAUUCAGUGAACCUUUUGAAAAAGUUAAGGCUAGGCCCAGACCUCACAUUUUAUAGGAUAAAUUCCAUAAGGAUCACAGUUUUAAAUGUAAAGGCUGAAAUUUUAAAAAUUAUAGAAUUCUUCCUAAUUUGAGUGGGGAAGACCUUUCUAACUAGGCAUAAGGCCUAGAAGUCCUAAAAGACUAAUACAUUCAACUACUUAAAAAAAAUGCAUGGCAAAACUACCAUUAGCAGAGCCAAAAGGUAAAAGACAGGGAAAAAAAUAACUUUAAGUUGUAUCACACAGAGCAGGUUUCUCUAGUAUGUAAAUAGCUAAAUCCUACAAUUAAGGUAGGUAAAAAAGAUGAAAAAAAAAAAAAGACAGACAAAUGGGUGAAUAAUAAGUGAACAAGCAUUUAGCAGGAAAAAAAUAUAAAUAAUUAAAAUAUUUUAAGAGAUGUUCAAACUCAGUCAAACUAGGAGAAAUGUAAAGUAGAAUUUUCACCUAUCAAGUGAUCAAAGAUCCAAAAAAGCUAUAACUCACUGUGCUGGUCUUAGGCCGUAGCAUAAAUUAGUUCAAUCUCUGUGGAGGACAAUUCAUCAAAAUGUAUCUAAUUACAAAAGCACAUAGCUAUUUCUAAAAACGUAUCCGACAGGUAUACGUGCAAAUUUGUGUAGGAGGUUAUUUGGUGCAGCCUAACAGGGAAAGAUGAAAAACAGCCAAAUGCCCUCACUAGAGAACUGGUUUAAUAAAUUACAGUAUUUCCAUGCAGUGUAAACUAUACACUAUAAAAAGGAUAAGGGAGUAUUUUCUGUAUGGGUAUGAAUAAAUUCCAAAAUAUAUCAACUGAAAAAAGCAAGGUACAAAAUGGUUGUGUAUAAUAUACUAUUAUCUGUGCAAAAAAGGCGAAAAUGAAACAAUAUACAUAAACAUUUGCUUAAUAUGCAGAGAAUAUCUGGAAAGAUACACAAAAAUAGUAAGAAUCAGUCACAAUCACUGCCUGUGGAGAGGAGUUAGGUACAUAGUAUAAGAGAUAGGAAUGGGAAGGAAAAUGUUCACUGCACUGUCCUUUUUUAUUCCUAAAUUCUGAAUGUACUAUGUAUUUUAAAAAUUAAAGAUUCAAAGAAUAAUAAACAGAACAAAAGCAAUGGUAUCUUCCACAAGGACUCUUAAUCUGAGAUUUAAGGAUACUUGGGGAGUAUCCCUAAAUCUUCCUUUAACCCCUGAAAUUUUCAAAAUGUAUGUGUAUUUUUCUCAGAAGAGAGCUCACAGUUUUCAUCAGACUCUCAAGUGGCUAACGGACAUCUAGUGUAUACCAGGAACCACUUCUUUAAAACAAAUGCUUAGAAAAAUUCUUAGCAGUUUGUAUUCACAGCACUUUACUCUCGUAGAUCAAUAAUACAGACGAUUACUUUAAAAUGUGAAUACUAAAAAUGUAUUAACAAAUCACUAGGUUAUAUAUAGUUAAGAAUAUCCUAUUUCUAUCACCUCUUCUAGUUUUUUUGGAAAUGAAGGAGCCCAUUGUUAUCUUUUCAGCCAAUUAUGAUAGGCCCCAAAGGGUCCUGGAUGAGUGAU